RNAcentral lists this transfer RNA (87 nucleotides) under Pseudoalteromonas sp. RNAcentral describes it as "tRNA-Leu". It matches the Rfam family "tRNA". From Rfam's summary of the family: Transfer RNA (tRNA) molecules are approximately 80 nucleotides in length. Their secondary structure includes four short double-helical elements and three loops (D, anti-codon, and T loops). The record is from RNAcentral. Lineage: Bacteria; Pseudomonadati; Pseudomonadota; Gammaproteobacteria; Alteromonadales; Pseudoalteromonadaceae.
GCCAGAGUGGCGAAAUUGGUAGACGCAUCGGAUUCAAAAUCCGACGGUAGAAAUACUGUGCCGGUUCAAGUCCGGCCUCUGGUACCA